RNAcentral lists this long non-coding RNA (517 nucleotides) under Brassica napus (rape). RNAcentral's name for it is "long non-coding RNA (BNAP_LNC001784)". The record is from RNAcentral. Lineage: Eukaryota; Viridiplantae; Streptophyta; Magnoliopsida; Brassicales; Brassicaceae.
GAGACCAUGCGAACCGGUCGACGUAAGCUCUCUGGGAGUUUUUUGGAUAUAGGAUCCGGAUCCUGCAGAAGGUUCCUGGAUUGUCCAUGUUGUUGACCCCUGAUUCCCGAUUCUGCGGGAUCUGAGGUCUCCUCUGUAAUUGCUAUAAGACCCUUGUCUUCCCCUUUAAGGUGGUCUGGUAGCAUGACCUAGAAUUCUCCUGGUCUCCUCGGAUUGCUCUGAUGCCCCAGGGUGUAGGGAACUUCACUAUUUGAUGGAGGGUUGAGGGAACUGCUCCCAUGUCGUGAAUCCAGGAUUGUCCUAAGAUCAUGUUGUAUGCUGAUUGGCAGUCCACGACCAGGAAUUUGGUAGAUAGGUUGAUCCCCUCAGCAUAUACUGGAAGAACAACCUCCCCAGCGGUUUACUUGACCUCGCCACUGAACCCGAUGAGUGGGGUUACCUUGCGCGUCAAGGUAUUCUCCUCUAACCCUAGGACUUGGUAUGUAACACCCCCGAUCCGGAAUAAAUAAAAGUUAAU